UCCCUCAUAGCUCAAUCAGUAAAGAAUCUGCCUUCAAUGCAGAAGAGCUGGGUUCAAUUCCUGGGUUGGGAA
This 72-nucleotide transfer RNA is filed under the name Bos taurus (domestic cattle). It matches the Rfam family "tRNA". From Rfam's summary of the family: Transfer RNA (tRNA) molecules are approximately 80 nucleotides in length. Their secondary structure includes four short double-helical elements and three loops (D, anti-codon, and T loops). Further hydrogen bonds mediate the characteristic L-shaped molecular structure. tRNAs have two regions of fundamental functional importance: the anti-codon, which is responsible for specific mRNA codon recognition, and the 3' end, to which the tRNAs corresponding amino acid is attached (by aminoacyl-tRNA synthetases). tRNAs cope with the degeneracy of the genetic code in two manners: having more than one tRNA (with a specific anti-codon) for a particular amino acid; and 'wobble' base-pairing, i.e. permitting non-standard base-pairing at the 3rd anti-codon position. Lineage: Eukaryota; Metazoa; Chordata; Mammalia; Artiodactyla; Bovidae. The record is from Rfam by way of RNAcentral. RNAcentral also lists the same sequence under 1 other name.